Long non-coding RNA from Drosophila sulfurigaster albostrigata, 1786 nucleotides. RefSeq lists it as uncharacterized. The transcript is spliced from 2 exons. The record is from RefSeq and is a predicted model, not a curated record. NCBI's taxonomy places the organism in Eukaryota, Metazoa, Arthropoda, Insecta, Diptera, Drosophilidae.
UAGUUAAAAUGUUUUCAUUUUCGGUUUUAUACUAAAGACAUCAAAAAGAUAAAAAAAAAAUGAACCAAGAGAUGAAUCUAAGUAAACAAGCAUUAAUUAAAUUUAUCUUAAUGAAUUCCUUGACUAAUUUACAUGCAUUUUAAGCGAAAUUCACACAUUGUCUUUGCCAUGAUUAAGAUGGCAUCAAUUGUCGCAACACGUCAAUCGAAUUUAAUGAGCAAAAAACUCUCGUUCGCUGUGUCGCAUCUUCAAGGUGUAUUCGCUUGUUGUAUGUACGUGCUGCAAAAUGAGAUAAAUUCUAAUUAAAGCUAAAGAAACUAGCACUAAUUACAAUUUGUGCCGUCGCCCUAUACAAAUGCAAAUGCAGACAGACAGUAGUCGCAAAGAGUUCCUAAAAACCAAAUACAAUUUCGAUGAAACGAAGGCGAAAUAACACAAAAACAAGAAAGCGAACAAAAUGAUGAAGCACUGAAAUAGAUUAGGCGAAAUAUACAAAGACAGGCAGAGAGAGAGAGAGAGACAGAGAGAGAGAGCGACUCUGUCUGUAGCCUAACUAUGCAAUCCAUUCUAGAUACUAUUUGCUUGUUGGAUCUCAAGAUGUAUCUGCAUCUUUUGCCGCCUCUGUGUAGCUGUAUUCAAAAAUAGAUUUCGUUGUCGCGACGUCGCGCGUUUUCAACGCGUCUUUGGUCGCGUCAAUUGCGCGUCAUCGCCUCGACGAGUAUAUAAGAUCAUGAGCAGAACAAAUACUAUUUAUAUAUACUAUUAGAUAUAAUGAAUACACAGUAUAUACAGUAUAUACCAUAUAUCAAAGUAUAUAAGGGCCUUCUGGCGACAGUUCUGCGCAAUUUUCGGUCUAUGCCUUUCGCUUGUCGAUCUUCGGUCGCGUCAAGUGUGUCCGAAAAUAGCAAGCGAUGCGCUAAAGGAGCCUCGUUUUGGCCAAUUGGCGGCGACGGCCGCUGCAACGAAGUCUAAGGCCUGACCAACCAAAGACAACACGGCGCAGCGGAUGAAAGUCUCGAGUUGGCUGAGAGCAGUGCAGUGCACUUGGCAAACUUACAAGAGUUGCACAACAAAGUCGCACACACACAUACACACAUGCACAACCUCACAGUCGCAUACACACACUCGCACACAAACACACGGACUUGGGCAGAUUGCUGUGCUCACACGCGCAUGAGAAGUAAAACGUUGAUGAUAAAUCACGCAUACGCCUGUUGGCCCGGCAGACAACACUACAAGUUCGUGCUCGUGUGCCACGUGUAUGUGUGUGCAUCUGUGUCGGUGUGAGUGACACGACUUGCAGUGUUCCUCGGCUUGUUUUGCCAACUGCAGUGCAGUCUGCUCGCUUAUAGCCACAACUCGGACGAGUCGGCCGGCAGGCAAUUGGCACGAACGAUGCCUCCUUUGGCUACCACACAAGGCAACGCGACAUUGGAUAACAGCACGACGACCAAUCAGAAGCGGCGGCCAACCAGACACAGCCGAAGCUGAAACCCGUGAGCCGAAGUUAACGUGGCCAACGAUGCCAACUAACCCAAACUGGUGACAUUUUGUACAUAGUAUAUGCAAGCAAAAUUAUUAAAUUUAGUUCAGUUUGUAAGAGUCUCAACUAAUUGUAAGUCACAUGCCGGAAGCGUUAGCCCACAGAAUAACAACUUAUGUGGGCAGUAAUAUGAAUGAAUACGAAUACUUAAUAUUCUUAAGAACAUGAAACGAAGAUUGCAAAAUGCGAAAACAUAAAUAAAGGAAACAAAAACCGUAAAGCUCACGAGCCGCACACCCAAAA